This 73-nucleotide transfer RNA is filed under the name Cyanobacteria bacterium FACHB-471. Its description in RNAcentral is "tRNA-Ala". It matches the Rfam family "tRNA". From Rfam's summary of the family: Transfer RNA (tRNA) molecules are approximately 80 nucleotides in length. Their secondary structure includes four short double-helical elements and three loops (D, anti-codon, and T loops). Further hydrogen bonds mediate the characteristic L-shaped molecular structure. tRNAs have two regions of fundamental functional importance: the anti-codon, which is responsible for specific mRNA codon recognition, and the 3' end, to which the tRNAs corresponding amino acid is attached (by aminoacyl-tRNA synthetases). tRNAs cope with the degeneracy of the genetic code in two manners: having more than one tRNA (with a specific anti-codon) for a particular amino acid; and 'wobble' base-pairing, i.e. permitting non-standard base-pairing at the 3rd anti-codon position. Lineage: Bacteria; Bacillati; Cyanobacteriota. RNAcentral also lists the same sequence under 4 other names. The record is from RNAcentral.
GGGGCUAUAGCUCAGCUGGUAGAGCACUGCAAUGGCAUUGCAGGGGUCAGGGAUUCGAGUUCCCUUAGCUCCA